CCAAAGGCUCUUUUCAGAGCCACUCAAGACUUCAAAAUUGGAGCUUU
Non-coding RNA from Mus musculus (house mouse), 47 nucleotides. The record is from Rfam. Lineage: Eukaryota; Metazoa; Chordata; Mammalia; Rodentia; Muridae.